RNAcentral lists this ribosomal RNA (164 nucleotides) under Salvia longistyla. RNAcentral's name for it is "5.8S ribosomal RNA". It matches the Rfam family "5.8S ribosomal RNA". From Rfam's summary of the family: 5.8S ribosomal RNA (5.8S rRNA) is a component of the large subunit of the eukaryotic ribosome. It is transcribed by RNA polymerase I as part of the 45S precursor that also contains 18S and 28S rRNA. Functionally, it is thought that 5.8S rRNA may be involved in ribosome translocation. Lineage: Eukaryota; Viridiplantae; Streptophyta; Magnoliopsida; Lamiales; Lamiaceae. The record is from RNAcentral.
AUAAAGACUCUCGGCAAUGGAUACCUCUGUUCUCGCAUCGAUGAAGAACGUAGCGAAAGGCGAUACAUGGUGUGAAUUGCAGAAUCCCAUGAACUAUCGAGUCUUUGAAUGCAAGUUGCGCCCGAAGCCAUUCGGCCGAGGGCACGUCUGCCUGGGCAUCACGC